RNAcentral lists this long non-coding RNA (1782 nucleotides) under Homo sapiens (human). Its description in RNAcentral is "HSALNT0177396". The record is from RNAcentral. Lineage: Eukaryota; Metazoa; Chordata; Mammalia; Primates; Hominidae.
GGUCUCCAAGGAGGGAGUAGAGGUAUCUUACACUUGUGGGUUAAGGUGGGGGGAUACAAGAGGAGGACGCAAAGGAGGCUUUGGAUUGGGAAGAAGGGUGGCAAUGAGGUGUGGCUGUAGCCCAGGAAUAGUCAGGGAAGCAGAUAAUUUAGUUAAAGUGUCUCAGCCUAAUAAGGGAACUGGGCAGGUGGGGAUAAGUAAAAGGAGUGCUUAAAAGAGUACUGUCUAAUUUGGCACCAGAGUUGGGGAGUUUUAAGAGGUUUAGAAGCCUGGCCGUGAAUACCCACAACAGUUAUGGAGGCAAGGGAAACAAGCCCUUGAAAAGAAGGUGAUGUGGAGUGGAUAGCCUCCGUAUUGAUUAAGAAGGGGAUGGACUUACUUUCCACUGUGAGAGUUAUGGGAAGCUUGGCGUCCCUGAUGGUCUAGGGGGCUUCUGAGGCAAUCGGGCAGCGUCAGUCUUCAGCCGCUAAGCCAAGAAGAUCUGGGAAGCAGUCAGCCUUGGGCCAGACUUCCAGGAGCUCUGGGAGUGGCUGCCAGGUUUUUGGACUUUACGAUGGCGUUUCGGAAGCAUUAAGCUCUCAGCAGAAGCCACACUCUGAAUUCCGAUCUUUUCCUGGGCUGGUGAUGGAUGCGCAGCACAGUGCCCUCCUGCAGUACUGAGCGGUGGCAGGGAGCAGCAGUCCCAGCCAGCUGUGCCAUCGCGAGGGGAAGUGGCCGGCAUGGAUCGUUAAGUCAGGGAACAUCUGUCCCUUCUUCGUGAAUAUCUGUGUUCAAGUCUCUUGCUCAUUUGUUAAAUUGGGCUUUUCAUCUUAAUUUUGGUUUGCAGUUUUCUCCCCUAUAUCCGAGGUCUGAGUCCUUUGUCAGGACACACAGUGUGAUUUCUUGCCUGGCAUUCCGUUCCUUGCUUGUCCAUUUUCAAGAGCAGAACAUUUUCACGUUGAUGGAAGCCCGAUGUCUUUCUUCUACGACACAGGUGGUGGCCAGACCUGGCACACGGAUGCAGCUGACCCUGGAAGCUGAAGGGCAGUGAAACCCAUCUGAUUAAGAUGCUCAACUUUUCUGAAGAAAAAGCUGACACCAAGACCUGCCUAAGGUCACACCAUCAUGAGUGGCUGAGUUGGGCUGUGAUGAGCCACCCGGCUGGAGAGCUUGUGCCCUGGUUACACGAUUGCCAGUGAGAUGCCUAUGGACUCGCAUGUAGAGGUGGGUACCCAGACAGCUCAGAGUGAGCUGCCUGCGGGCCCAGCAUGCAGAGGUGUGUACUCAGUGCUGUGUGAGAUGCCUGUGGGCCCAGGCACGGAGGGAUGCAUGCGUGCCCAGAAAGCAAAAGGCUGUGCAGAGGACCUGCUAGGAGGUAAUGACUAGAGAACAUGUUUUUAAGCAAACAGGUGAAGGGAAAAUGCAAAAUAAGGAGCUACAUAAGCAUCACAUCUUAAGAAUCAUUAUGGAGCACCUAACUGUGACUUGUUGGGCUGGGAGCCAAACAACAUAGGUGGGACACGCUGCACAUAAAAGUAACAAGCUGGAGGUCCAGAGGAACCCUUGGAGCCGUCCCAAGACUGAGAGCCGGUGUCAGGCACCACCUCUUCUGGGCACCUGGGCUAUGGCAGUGGGGAGGAUGAGCCCCUGAUCCCAGAGGCCACUCUCUCACACAGUGCAGUGCAGUCUUUCUCACACAGGACCUAGUGUAACACGGGACCUAAUGGCAGGACACAUCAACCCAUUAAAAAUCCAAGCAAGGUACAAGAGAUUUCUAGAAACAAAGAAUCAGGCUUUAUUUUU